GGUUCGGUGGUGUAGUGGUUAUCACGUCUGUCUCACAUAUCGAACUGUGAUGUUGUGCACAGGAGGUCCCCGGUUCGAGACCGGGUCGAACCA
This is a non-coding RNA of Rhodocollybia butyracea, 93 nucleotides long. The record is from the annotation of a GenBank genome assembly. NCBI's taxonomy places the organism in Eukaryota, Fungi, Basidiomycota, Agaricomycetes, Agaricales, Omphalotaceae.